RNAcentral lists this ribosomal RNA (337 nucleotides) under uncultured bacterium. RNAcentral's name for it is "bacterial SSU rRNA". It matches the Rfam family "Bacterial small subunit ribosomal RNA", at positions 355 to 704 of the family's 1533-position model. The record is from RNAcentral.
UGGGGAAUAUUGCACAAUGGGCGAAAGCCUGAUGCAGCGACGCCGCGUGAGGGAUGACGGCCUUCGGGUUGUAAACCUCUUUCAGCAGGGACGAAGCGCAAGUGACGGUACCUGCAGAAGAAGCACCGGCUAACUACGUGCCAGCAGCCGCGGUAAUACGUAGGGUGCGAGCGUUGUCCGGAAUUAUUGGGCGUAAAGAGCUCGUAGGCGGUUUGUCGCGUCGGCCGUGAAAACUUGGGGCUUAACCCCGAGCCUGCGGUCGAUACGGGCAGACUUGAGUUCGGCAGGGGAGACUGGAAUUCCUGGUGUAGCGGUGAAAUGCGCAGAUAUCGAGGAG